CUCCCUACCGGAGGCAGCAGUGGGGAAUAUUGGACAAUGGGCGAAAGCCUGAUCCAGCCAUGCCGCGUGUGUGAAGAAGGUCUUCGGAUUGUAAAGCACUUUAAGUUGGGAGGAAGGGUUGUAGAUUAAUACUCUGCAAUUUUGACGUUACCGACAGAAUAAGCACCGGCUAACUCUGUGCCAGCAGCCGCGGUAAUACAGAGGGUGCAAGCGUUAAUCGGAAUUACUGGGCGUAAAGCGCGCGUAGGUGGUUCGUUAAGUUGGAUGUGAAAUCCCCGGGCUCAACCUGGGAACUGCAUCCAAAACUGGCGAGCUAGAGUAUGGUAGAGGGUGGUGGAAUUUCCUGUGUAGCGGUGAAAUGCGUAGAUAUAGGAAGGAACACCAGUGGCGAAGGCGACCACCUGGACUGAUACUGACACUGAGGUGCGAAAGCGUGGGGAGCAAACAGGAUUAGAUACCCUGGUAGUCCACGCCGUAAACGAUGUCAACUAGCCGUUGGGAGCCUUGAGCUCUUAGUGGCGCAGCUAACGCAUUAAGUUGACCGCCUGGGGAGUACGGCCGCAAGGUUAAAACUCAAAUGAAUUGACGGGGGCCCGCACAAGCGGUGGAGCAUGUGGUUUAAUUUGAAGCAACGCGAAGAACCUUACCAGGCCUUGACAUCCAAUAACUUGCCAGAGAUGGAUUGGGCCUUCA
RNAcentral lists this ribosomal RNA (693 nucleotides) under Pseudomonas sp. RNAcentral describes it as "bacterial SSU rRNA". It matches the Rfam family "Bacterial small subunit ribosomal RNA", at positions 335 to 1021 of the family's 1533-position model. The record is from RNAcentral. Lineage: Bacteria; Pseudomonadati; Pseudomonadota; Gammaproteobacteria; Pseudomonadales; Pseudomonadaceae.